AAAUGAUGAAUCCAAAAAUUCUAUGGAAUUCUGAAAGAUGGAAAAAUCCUUUUGAUCGAAUCAUAUCAUUCCA
RNAcentral lists this transfer RNA (73 nucleotides) under Hardenbergia comptoniana. Its description in RNAcentral is "tRNA-Glu". The record is from RNAcentral. Lineage: Eukaryota; Viridiplantae; Streptophyta; Magnoliopsida; Fabales; Fabaceae.